AGUGAACGCUGGCGGUAGGCCUAACACAUGCAAGUCGAACGGCAGCACAGUAAGAGCUUGCUCUUACGGGUGGCGAGUGGCGGACGGGUGAGGAAUACAUCGGAAUCUACUUUUUCGUGGGGGAUAACGUAGGGAAACUUACGCUAAUACCGCAUACGACCUACGGGUGAAAGCAGGGGAUCUUCGGACCUUGCGCGAUUGAAUGAGCCGAUGUCGGAUUAGCUAGUUGGCGGGGUAAAGGCCCACCAAGGCGACGAUCCGUAGCCGGUCUGAGUGGAUGAUCAGCCACACUGGAAGUGAGACACGGUCAAGACGACUACGGGAGGGAGCAGUGGGGUAUAUUGGACAAUAGGCGCAAGCCUGGUCCAGCCAGACCGAGUGGGUGAAGAAGGCCUUCGGGUUGUAAAGCCCUUUUGUUGGGAAAGAAAAGCAGCAGGUUAAUACCCAGCUGUUCUGACGGUACCCAAAGAAUAAGCACCGGCUAACUUCGUG
This 492-nucleotide ribosomal RNA is filed under the name uncultured bacterium. RNAcentral's name for it is "partial 16S ribosomal RNA". It matches the Rfam family "Bacterial small subunit ribosomal RNA", at positions 29 to 507 of the family's 1533-position model. The record is from RNAcentral.